Molecule: long non-coding RNA, 1270 nt
Organism: Triticum dicoccoides
Lineage: Eukaryota; Viridiplantae; Streptophyta; Magnoliopsida; Poales; Poaceae
Exons: 2
Source: RefSeq, a predicted model, not a curated record
UCCACCCUAUCAUUCUCUCUCGCUUGUUCUCCAUCCCGUCCAGAUCCCGCCGCCCCCAACCCUCCCACCCUUCCCCUCCACAGCAAGCCACCUCUACCAUCCCGGCUCCCUCCCUCUUCUGCCGCACAAAUAUCGGCGAGAUCCAGGGAGACGGGGACGUCGAUAUCGGCAUCAACCUCGCCAAGCUUGAUCCGGGGAUACCGGGGCCCCGGGCUGCCGUAGUGUUGGAUGUUGUGGCCGUCUCUUCCCACUGGCGGGAGACGCGGGGCCUGUCGCGGGCUUACCCGGGAGGGUCGACAGUGUGCACGACCUGUACUGCUUCCUGCUGGCCUCUCACGGCCUCCUCCUGGUCCACAGCUACUCCGCGACUCCAACUUGGAGGCAUUGAGAAAAGGCCUGUCUUUUUGUGCUCGAACUUCUUGCUUCUUCCCUUUGAUUGUUGGUGGACGUGUGAUUUUGUUGUUGUUCGGGCUGGAUAGGUCAAGCUGCAAAAGUAGUUGUAGCCAGAUUACUACUCCCUCUGUUCACUUAUAUAAGACGUUUUAGCAAAUUCAGACAGUGCACUAAACAGUUCAAACCCAGCUGUCUGAAACGCCUUAUAAAAACGAACGGAGGGAGUACUAAUUUUUAUAGAUUACUUACCAGGACGUUGAACGAAUUCAAUUCUUUCUAGUUUGUGUGCUAUUGUAUAUUUUAACUUUUGUGUUCCUAACUACGGCCCUCUGAAUGUAAUGUUGUUGUUCUGAAUUUUACCCUGGCCUGCCCCUAAUCAGUGUUUUUUUGGUUUGGUUUCCUGUGUAAUGCAUUUUGGAUACGGUGAUGCAGGUGACUAGCCGUAGAUGUGGCCUGGUGUCCCAAGCUUCUGCAUGGAGCUCGCCAUGCUUCACCAAGAAUCAUGACGAUGCUGCCUUGUGCUCGCCAUGCGCAGAACUAGGGUCGUGAGGAGGAAGACAAGGCCACACACGAGGAAAUUCGAGACGGAGGCGGCACCAAACAUAACUUGAGCCUGAUUUUUCUUGCUAGCUUAGCGUUUUGCUUUCAUAGGUUUGGAGCUCUAAAUUUAAGCUUUUGCUCUGAAUCUUCAAUUGAUCCACAGGUUUCUGAUCGUUCUGAACAAAUGCUUGAACUCUUUGUUGUUUGAUGUGAUUUUGGGAGUUCAUUAGACUUUGGAAAGUUGUUUGCUUUCCCUUAAUCGUUUUCUUAAUCUCCUCCCUUCUUUAGUGGAUCUCCAUGCAAGUGUUAGUGGGUAAUGCAUGGUUAAAUUAUAUUU